Molecule: ribosomal RNA, 502 nt
Filed under: Oxycarenus lavaterae
Lineage: Eukaryota; Metazoa; Arthropoda; Insecta; Hemiptera; Oxycarenidae
Description: eukaryotic LSU rRNA
Rfam family: Eukaryotic large subunit ribosomal RNA
Source: RNAcentral
AGUCAUUGGGUCAUACUAAACCUAAAGGCGCAAAUGAAAGUGUCUAAGGGCCAAACGGUCCCCGCUUGGGAGGAUGGUCCCCCGGCGCACUCCGCCGGAGACCCGCACUCCCGGGGCGUCUCGUUCUCGUUUCGAGUUGAGGCGCACCAGGAGCGCACACGCUGUUACCCGAAAGAUGGUGAACUAUGCCUGGCCAGGACGAAGCCAGGGGAAACCCUGGUGGAGGUCCGAAGCGGUUCUGACGUGCAAAUCGAUCGUCUGAGCUGGGUAUAGGGGCGAUAGACCAAUCGAACCAUCUAGUAGCUGGUUCCCUCUGAAGUUUCCCUCAGGAUAGCUGGCUCUCGAGCUUGAGACGAGUCUCAUCCGGUAGAGCGAAUGAUUAGAGGUGAUGGGGUCGAAACGACUUCAACCUAUUCUCAAACUCCCAAUAGAUGAGAGCCCCGGCUUGCUUGAAAGUGAAGCCGCGGGACUCGGAUCAGAGAGGCCAAGUGGGCCAAUUUUG